GACGAACGCUGGCGGCGUGGAUUAGGCAUGCAAGUCGAACGGUAUCAUCCUUUCGGGGGUGAGAGAGUGGCGAACUGGUGAGUAACACGUAGGUUAUCUACCCUCAAGACGGGGACAACCCAGGGAAACUUGGGCUAAUACCGGAUGUGAGCAACUUUUAGUUGUUUGAAAGGUGGCGUAAGCUGUCGCUUGGGGAUGAGCCUGCGUCCUAUUAGUUAGUUGGUGAGGUAACGGCUCACCUAGGCAAUGAUGGGUAGGCGGCCUUAACGGGUGGUCGCCCACACUGGGAUUGAGAUACGGCCCAGACUCCUACGGGAGGCAGCAGUCGAGAAUAGUCUACAAUGGUCGGAAGACUGAUAGUGCGACGCCGCGUGAACGAUGAAUCCCUUCGGGGUGUAAAGUUCUUUUAUAUGUGAGCAGUGCUUCUUAUAUUAACAGUAUGGGGAGAGAGAUAUUAGCAUAUGAAUAAGCAACGGCUAACUCCGUGCCAGCAGCCGCGGU
This 501-nucleotide ribosomal RNA is filed under the name uncultured bacterium. RNAcentral's name for it is "bacterial SSU rRNA". It matches the Rfam family "Bacterial small subunit ribosomal RNA", at positions 28 to 521 of the family's 1533-position model. The record is from RNAcentral.